Molecule: ribosomal RNA, 484 nt
Filed under: uncultured bacterium
Lineage: Bacteria
Description: partial 16S ribosomal RNA
Rfam family: Bacterial small subunit ribosomal RNA
Source: RNAcentral
AUUGAACGCUGGCGGCAGGCCUAACACAUGCAAGUCGAGCGGAUGAAGGGAGCUUGCUCCUGGAUUCAGCGGCGGACGGGUGUGUAAUGCCUAGGUAUCUGCCUGGUAGUGGGGGAUAACGUCCGGAAACGGGCGCUAAUACCGCAUACGUCCUGAGGGAGAAAGUGGGGGAUCUUCGGACCUCACGCUAUCAGAUGAGCCUAGGUCGGAUUAGCUAGUUGGUGGGGUAAAGGCCUACCAAGGCGACGAUCCGUAACUGGUCUGAGAGGAUGAUCAGUCACACUGGAACUGAGACACGGUCCAGACUCCUACGGGAGGCAGCAGUGGGGAAUAUUGGACAAUGGGCGAAAGCCUGAUCCAGCCAUGCCGCGUGUGUGAAGAAGGUCUUCGGAUUGUAAAGCACUUUAAGUUGGGAGGAAGGGCAGUAAGUUAAUACCUUGCUGUUUUGACGUUACCAACAGAAUAAGCACCGGCUAACUUCGUG